CUAUUUGCAUGAUAACUAGAAGUUGAAGAUUACUUUCAAAUUUAUGAACAGAUUGAGAGUGACUCCAACGACAUCCUGCGCAAGAAAGUAGAAGAUAAGAAUCAUGAAUUGAGGCAGUUGAAUGGAGAGGAUCUGCAAGGAUUGACACUGCAAGAACUGCAGAAAAUUGAGGAAAAUCUUAAAAGGGGUUUGACCAAUGUUUCAAAAGUAAAGGAUGAAAAAGUUAUGCAAGAGAUCAGCAACCUUAAAAGAAAGGGAGUGGAACUAAUGGAGGAAAACCAAAGAUUGAAACAGGUACCAAGCCUUAUCCAGUUACACAGGCAAUCAUCGGAAUCCAUUAUUAGCAAUUCAUCUAAUCUUCCUGAAGAUGGUUAUAGUGACACAUCUCUCAAGUUGGGGUUACCUUAAAUUUCAAGAAAAUUGUAGAAUGUUAGAAGUGACAGCGUUCACUUCCUUUAUGUGUCUUACUGAAAACCAAUUGAAUGGAGUGUUUAUGUAAAGUAAAUUUAAGGGAUGCAUUUUGUACUUAACUCAUCCUUCUAUAUACUCAUGAGUUAGUGGUCGAUGCUUCGAUCAUGUCUAUAGUUU
Vigna umbellata (rice bean) is the source of this 588-nucleotide non-coding RNA. The record is from RefSeq and is a predicted model, not a curated record. NCBI's taxonomy places the organism in Eukaryota, Viridiplantae, Streptophyta, Magnoliopsida, Fabales, Fabaceae.